This 409-nucleotide ribosomal RNA is filed under the name Fusobacteriota bacterium. Its description in RNAcentral is "Fusobacteria bacterium partial 16S ribosomal RNA". It matches the Rfam family "Bacterial small subunit ribosomal RNA", at positions 355 to 776 of the family's 1533-position model. Lineage: Bacteria; Fusobacteriati; Fusobacteriota. The record is from RNAcentral.
UGGGGAAUAUUGCACAAUGGAGGGAACUCUGAUGCAGCAACGCCGCGUGCGGGAUGACGGCCUUCGGGUUGUAAACCGCUUUCAGCCAUGACGAAGCUUUUGUGACGGUAGUGGUAGAAGAAGCACCGGCUAACUACGUGCCAGCAGCCGCGGUGAUACGUAGGGUGCGAGCGUUGUCCGGAAUUAUUGGGCGUAAAGAGCUUGUAGGCGGUUUGUCGCGUCGAUAGUGUAAACACGCAGCUUAACUGUGUGCCUGCUGUCGAUACGGGCUGACUAGAGGAGGGUAGGGGGGAAUGGAAUUCCCGGUGGAGCGGUGGAAUGCGCAGAUAUCGGGAGGAAAACCAGUGGCGAAGGCGGUUCUCUGGGCCUUUCCUGACGCUGAGAAGCGAAAGCGUGGGUAGCAAACAGG